RNAcentral lists this ribosomal RNA (253 nucleotides) under uncultured bacterium. RNAcentral describes it as "partial 16S ribosomal RNA". It matches the Rfam family "Bacterial small subunit ribosomal RNA", at positions 524 to 776 of the family's 1533-position model. The record is from RNAcentral.
UACGUAGGUGGCAAGCGUUAUCCGGAUUUAUUGGGUGUAAAGGGCGUGUAGGCGGGAAUGCAAGUCAGAUGUGAAAACUCAGGGCUCAACCCUGAGCCUGCAUUUGAAACUGUAUUUCUUGAGUGCUGGAGAGGCAAUCGGAAUUCCGUGUGUAGCGGUGAAAUGCGUAGAUAUACGGAGGAACACCAGUGGCGAAGGCGGAUUGCUGGACAGUAACUGACGCUGAGGCGCGAAAGCGUGGGGAGCAAACGGG